CUCCGACUCCUCGCAUGGGGUGUCGGGAAAGAUUUCAUCGGUAUGGGAUGGGGUCGCGUCCUAUCAGGUAGUCGGCGGGGUAACGGCCCACCGAGCCUACGACGGGUAGCCGGCCUGAGAGGGCGACCGGCCACAUUGGGACUGAGAUACGGCCCAGACUCCUACGGGAGGCAGCAGUGGGGAAUAUUGCACAAUGGGCGCAAGCCUGAUGCAGCGACGCCGCGUGCGGGAUGACGGCCUUCGGGUUGUAAACCGCUUUUGAUCGGGAGCGAGCCUUCGGGUGAGUGUACCUUUCGAAUAAGCACCGGCUAACUACGUGCCAGCAGCCGCGGUAAUACGUAGGGUGCAAGCGUUAUCCGGAAUUAUUGGGCGUAAAGGGCUCGUAGGCGGUUCGUCGCGUCCGGUGUGAAAGUCCAUCGCUUAACGGUGGAUCUGCGCCGGGUACGGGCGGG
Molecule: ribosomal RNA, 452 nt
Filed under: uncultured Bifidobacterium sp.
Lineage: Bacteria; Bacillati; Actinomycetota; Actinomycetes; Bifidobacteriales; Bifidobacteriaceae
Description: bacterial SSU rRNA
Rfam family: Bacterial small subunit ribosomal RNA
Source: RNAcentral